UACGUAGGGUGCAAGCGUUGUCCGGAAUUAUUGGGCGUAAAGAGCUCGUAGGCGGUCUGUCGCGUCGGCUGUGAAAACCCGGGGCUCAACCCCGGGCCUGCAGUCGAUACGGGCAGACUAGAGUGCGGUAGGGGAGAUCGGAAUUCCUGGUGUAGCGGUGAAAUGCGCAGAUAUCAGGAGGAACACCGGUGGCGAAGGCGGAUCUCUGGGCCAUUACUGACGCUGAGGAGCGAAAGCGUGGGGAGCGAACAGG
Molecule: ribosomal RNA, 253 nt
Filed under: uncultured bacterium
Lineage: Bacteria
Description: partial 16S ribosomal RNA
Rfam family: Bacterial small subunit ribosomal RNA
Source: RNAcentral